GAGUACCGGGUCCUUGGGCCCUUACUCCCACCCUUUGUGUACCUACCGAUUUUUCGUUGCCUCGGCGGGGUCGAUCCCCAGGGCCUGCCGGCCCUGUGGGGGACCCGCCGAGGGGACACUCCAAAACUCCUGUCAACAGUGACGUCUGAGAAACAAACAAACUAGUUAAAACUUUCAACAACGGAUCUCUUGGUUCU
This 197-nucleotide unclassified non-coding RNA is filed under the name rhizosphere metagenome. RNAcentral's name for it is "partial ribosomal RNA internal transcribed spacer region". The record is from RNAcentral.